RNAcentral lists this long non-coding RNA (269 nucleotides) under Capsella rubella. RNAcentral's name for it is "long non-coding RNA (CRUB_LNC001991)". Lineage: Eukaryota; Viridiplantae; Streptophyta; Magnoliopsida; Brassicales; Brassicaceae. The record is from RNAcentral.
AUGAACGGUCUCUUUAGCUAAAGAGUUAUAACUUUUAUGUAUAUAUUAUAAUAUAAUUAAUUUAAUUUAAAUAAGUUUAUCUUUAAUAGGAUAGGCACAAGCAAAUUUACUUGCAGUGUCCUACUAUCAAGAUUAUACAAUUUACUUUAAGAAUUCAAAAAAAAAAAAACUAUUCACGAUAUGAUGACAUAAUAAAGAGGUUUCAGUAUCUCUAUGUAAUUUUUGUGUUAUGUUAAAGUGUGAAACUUCUACCGAUUAGCAUAUUCUUG